This 2013-nucleotide long non-coding RNA is filed under the name Ananas comosus (pineapple). Its description in RNAcentral is "long non-coding RNA (ACOM_LNC005302)". The record is from RNAcentral. Lineage: Eukaryota; Viridiplantae; Streptophyta; Magnoliopsida; Poales; Bromeliaceae.
UAAAUCGCGGGGUUGGAUUCCGAGUGUCGUGGUAAGAAACCGAAGACCUAUAAUUUCCGGAUCGCGGAUCGGAGGUCGUUUGGUGGUCGCGCGCGGAUUGGGUCAAGCCGAGCGGCGUGCGCCGCGGGAGGCCAAUUGCGAGUGACGACGAGCAAUCGGAAUGCGAUAAAAGGUGGGGGGUGUCCAUCUCGAAGCAACUGAGCUUUUUCCUAUGUCUUAGUGCUUUACCGAUUUGCAUAUAGCAUAUUGUAUAUUGUUAUGCAUUAUAUGGUGAUGAUACAUGCAUUCCUACUCCUUGUAUGAUGUCUAUGAUUAAUAUAGUAUUAUGAUAUGGAUACUUGAUGUAAUGGACAUAAGGAUUGGGGGAUGACAUUGGUAAACCUAUGAUGCUAAAUGAAAGAGGAAUCUAGUGUUGUAUCUAAAGACAUAGUUUACUAGAGGCAUUGGACUUAAUGUGAUAGAAACACAUAUAUCUUGAACUAAGUUUCGGAUUGGUUAUUGUACUAGAAACUCUAGUUAACAUUGAUCAAGUUGCAUAUUGGGAUAUUGCAUUAUAGGGUGCUAGAUGGCAAUUGUUAUAUGUCAUGGCAUGCUAGUGAUAGUGUAGUGUUGAUUGUUUAAUACUUGUACCUAGUAUGCAUGAGAUUGGGACAUAGUAUUGUGAAACCCUAUAAUGGCAUGAUUAAUGUGGAUUAAACUCUAGUUGAGUGACCACCUAGUGAGUAUAUGCAAGUAGUGUAUCGAGAACAUUAAACUAUGACGAGUGGCAUCUAGUUAAUGUUAACCCUUGACGAGUGGCAUAUGAGAACCUAGUGUAGUUGACACUUGGCAUUGAACAUAGGGAUUAGUUGAGUUCCCUAGUGUGGCAUAUUGCAUGAGAACCUAGUGUGGUUGGCACUUAUGAUAUUGAGUAUAGGGGAAAGGUGUAUUUCCCUAGUGGUGGCAUAUUGCAUGAGAAUUGAGUGUAGUUGACACUACGGCAUCGAACAUAGGGAUAGGUGAAUUCCCCAGUUGCGAUUUGGGUAGAGAACCUAAAGUGUGAUGUUGUUAACCCUAGAUGAUAGGGUGUUCCUAGUUGAUGACACUAUCCUGAGUUGAUAGGAUGUUCCCAGUUUAUGAGGAUUGGAUCGAGCUCACAUAGCCUGUCUGCACCUGUGGUGGUCGCUCCACACAGGUAGUGCACUCCGAAGUUUGUCACACGAGGGGGGCCAAUGUAGUUGCCCUUGGACUAUUGUAGCUGACCGCAGGCAGUCUCGGGGGUAGUCUAGCAGUGGGACUCCUUCCCUAUGAGACUUAAACACGUGAGACUGAAAGCGAGCCUCGGUUUAGCCGAGAGAUUGGGUGAUCUAAUGAAUAGCCUUAUUGAUGAACCUAGUUGUAUGGUAGUUAGCCUUUACUAUGAGUUACAUUGAUAUUGAGCAUAGUCGCUUGGUAGUUAGAUUAGUGGAUUUGCCUACAUACAGUGAGUGGACAUACUAUUCCUUCACCUAUGAGAUUAGAGCGGGGUAGCCCUGUACCUAGUAGGUCGAGAUCGAGUCAGGCGAGGAGCGGGGUAGCUCUUUGCCUAGGACCUUCGAGAUUGAGUCGGACCUUCGAGAUGUGAGUCGGGCUGUAAGGAAGUGAAUUCUCGAAAUACGAGGAUUGUACUUCAUCCAGGAUCGACUAAUUGUCGAAAGUAUACCCUUUGUGGGAGUUUAGAAUGUCCAAAGCACAAAAAGUGCCUUGGAGUUGAGUUCGCGAGAGCAAAUGAGCCAAACUGCAUCAUUGGGCUGAUGUUGCUCUCGGGGACCGGUCUCUGCAGGUGAGAGACCGAUUCCCCUGGCUGGGCGUAGCGGGGUUGCGUGAUGCAACCGGUCCCUGGAAGGGAGGGACCGGUUCCCGAACGUGGUCCCAGCGAGAUUUGCCAAAAAUUGGCUAAGUCCUGAAAAUCGAGCUCUCGGGGACCGGUCUCUCAGGAGAAGACCGAUCUCCCCAGGACCGGUCUCCCGGGGAGAGACCGGUUCCCGAACGCGU